This is a non-coding RNA of Cymbomonas tetramitiformis, 74 nucleotides long. Lineage: Eukaryota; Viridiplantae; Chlorophyta; Pyramimonadophyceae; Pyramimonadales; Pyramimonadaceae. The record is from the annotation of a GenBank genome assembly.
CUCCGCGUAGCUCAGUUGGUUAGAGCGUCGCACUAGAAAAGCGAACGUCACGGGUUCAAAUCACGUCGUGGAGC